AGACAGCACAUACAUUUCAGCUGACUGUGUACUAUGUUCUGUCCAAACCUCAGGUGACAGUCCAUGAUAACAUCUCCUGUAGCGUGGUGUGUUCUGUGGAGAACGGGAGAGAGGUGACCCUGUCCUGGUACAAAGGAGGGAAGAUACACAACCAGACCAGCAGCCCUGACCACAUCACCCUCUCUAUACCUCUCAAGGUGGAUGAACAGAACAGAGACUCUUACAGAUGUGAGGCUGCCAACCCAGUCAGCAAGGAGACAGCUGUUGUUCCACAUUCCUGUAUAGAGAGUGAUCCCUUCAAGGUGACAGAUGGUGAUUGUCUUAUUACUGCAGUAAUCUGCAUUUUGGUUACUUUAGGACUUGUUGGACUUACAAUAUAUCAUAAGAAGAGGAGAAACGGACACUCACAUGCAGGAGGAGCGAACAGGUAUACCAGAACUGGAUCUGCUUAGAGACAACCCUGACCUGACAUAAGUUUAAGAUACAUCACAUGGCUGCCAGUGAGGAUGUUAACACUGCAUGAAGGUUGAGAGAGAACAGGAAGUUAAUGAGAGUGUGACAAGAUAAUUCACAUCCAAGAGAAGGCGUUACAUCCUAAAGUGAAUGUGGAGACAAAGUUAUAGUAAAUAUUUGUCUAGAAAACUUAAUGGACGCACAGUUAUUGGAGAAAAUUCCCAUUUAACCGUUGUGCUGUUAUCAUUUCCGACUUCCUUUGUUGGUCAUUCUCACAGUCUUUUGUUGAAUUGGGGCCUUGGUGAACAUCACUGAUAAAGACAAAUUCAAUAACUAUACCUAGGGUUAGGUAUAUGGGUGAUCCCAUUUUCAAGUGCCCAAUGUCCCAAUGUAUAGGUUAAAACAAAUGGAACCUCUUUUUAAUACAUUUCACUAGUGUGUUUUCUAUGCUUUGCUGGUCAGAAGCUUCUUUUCAGUUCUGUCUGUUCUGUUGUUUAAAUGUAGGUGCCUCCCCUGUAUCGUUUUAUAGCUGGUCAUUGUUUAGCUUGCCAGUGGAUAGCAGCUGUGUACAUAAAAAUGAGAUGUUUGAUGAGAUAAAGCCACCUGCUCGUUAGAGGCAAUGGCUAUUAAGCUACGUUGGAAACAAAGUCCACAAGUUUAUUUUUCCUUUCACCAUGUAGAUUUUAUUGAAACAUUUUUGAGUGGUCGAUCUUUAUUUGUAUUUUGACCCGAAAACAAUCUUUGGUGCCAUUUUACUCUUAUUGCUUUUCGCAAAAUGCAGACGUUAUUACGUGUACUUCAGAUCUUGCUUUGACAUCAACUGUGUUCAUGCAGUUUGAAAGUAAGAAAUCAACAGUUUAGUUUAUUAUGAUGGACCAUUUACUGCUCGUCUUUAUCUAGCUACACAGUAUGUAGCUCAUCAUCUCUUAAGAAUACAAUCACUCCCUCCAGCACGCACCUGCAGACUCUCCUAUUACAGCAUUUUAUGCUCCACCUACAUUAGCCCACAUACAGUGCUGUAUAUAACUGAAAAAUACAAACUCUACCGAUACGGUAGUGUGUCUUUGCACUGGAAGAUAUUUCAUUUUUAUACUUGUAUACUUCAGAGUAGUUACUGAGACGGAAUAUGAAGAUAAUAUUACAUUUACAUUUAUAUAAUUCACAUGUCACUAUUCUAAAAUACAGGAAAUGUCUGACUGAUUCUAACUGAUAAAUAGUUUUGUACCAAGCUUUUUUUGUACUGAGCUUCAAUAUAUCAAGUCAAAUACUUACCCAUACAUUUAAUUUCAAUCAAAUCAAAUCGUAUUUGUCACAUGCGCCAAAUACAACAGUGUCGGUAGACCUUACAGUGAAAUGCUUACUUACAAGCCCUUAACCUCUCUGGCCCACCCGGGAUGCAACUGCACCCCCUGCCAACAAUAAAUGCAAAUGCGCUACGCCAAAUGCUAAUAGCACUCGUUAAAACUCAAACGUUCAUUAAAAUUCACAUACAGGGUACUCAAUUCAAGCUACACUCGUUGUGAAUCUAGCCAACGAGUCAGAUUUGUAAAAUGUCUUUCGGCGAAAGCAUGAGUAGCUAUUAUCUGAUAGCAGGCAACAUGCCGAAAUACCAGAAGGGGACGUAAACAAAGGAAUUAGCGUAGCCGGCGCUACACAAAACGCAGAAAUAAAAUAUAAAACAUUCAUUACCUUUGACGAGAUUCUUUGUUGGCACUCCUAUAUGUCCCAUAAACAUCACAAUUGGGUCUUUUUUUCGAUUAAAUCGGUCCUUGUGUACCCAAAAUGUCAAUUUAUGAACACCGUCAGAUCCAGUAAAAACACAUUUUUUAAACGCGACGUUAUUUUUUAAAAUUAAAAAAGUUGCCUAUAAACUUUGACAAAACAAAAAUGCCCGCCAAAAAUUGUAUAAAUAAAAGUAAGAAAUAAUUCAGGAACAGCAGUAAAAUAACAAUAGCGAGGCUAUAUACAGGGGCUAACGGUACAGAGUCAAUUUGCAGGUGCACCGUUUAGUCGAAGUAAUUGAGCUAAUAUGUACAUGUAGGUACAGUUAUUAAAGUGACUAUGCAUAGAUAAUAAACAGUGAGUAGCAGCACUGUAACAAGGGGGGGGGGCAAUGCAAAUAGUCUGGGUUGCCAUUUGAUUAGAUGUUCUAGAGUCUUAUGGCUUGGGGGUAGAAGCUGUUUAGAAGCCUCUUAGACCUAGACUUGUCGCUCCGAUACUGCUUGCCGUGCGGUAGCAGAGAGCACAGUCUAUGACUAGGGUGGCUGGAGUCUUUGACCAUUUUUAUUGCCUUCCUGUGACAUUGCCUGGUAUAGAGGUCCUGGAUGGCAGGAAGCUUGGCCCCAGUGAUGUACUGGGCCGUACGCUCUACCCUCUGUAGUGCCUUGCUCGGAGGCCGAGCAGUUGCCAUAUCAGUCAGUGAUGCAACCAGUCAGUAUACUCUCAAUGGUGCAGCUGUAGAACCUUUUGAGGAUCUGAGGACCCAUGCCAAAUCAAUAUCAGUCUCCUAAGGAGGAAUAGAUUUUGUUGUGCCCUCUUCACGGCUGUCUUGGUGUGCUUGGGCAAUGUUAGUUUGUUGGUGAUGUGGACGCCAAGGAACUUGAAGCUCUCAACCUGUUCCACUACAGCCCCAUCGAUGAGAAUGGGGGCAUGCUCGGUCCUCCUUUUCUUGUAGUCCACAAUCAUGUCCUUAGUCUUGAUCAAGUUGAGGGAGAGGUUGUUGUCCUGGCACAACAUGGCCAGAUCUCUGACCUCCUCCCUAUAGGCUGUCACGUCAUUGUCGAUGAUCAGGUCUACCACUGUCAUCGGCAAACUUAAUGAUGGUGUUGGAGUCAUGCUUGGCCAUGCAGUCAUGAGUGAACAGGGAGUACUGGAGAAGACUGAGCACGCACCCCUGAGGGCCCCCGUGUUGAGGAUCAGCGUGGCACGUGGGUUCUUAGCUUAGAGAUGAGCUUUGAGUGCACUAUGGUGUUGAACGCUGAGCUGUAGUCAAUGAAUAGCAUUCUCACAUAGGUAUUCCUUUUGUACAGGUGUAAAGUGCAGUGUGGAGUGCAAUAGAAAUUGCAUCAUCUGUGGAUCUGUUGGAGCAGUAUGCAAAUUGGAGUGGGUUUAGGGUUUCUGGGAUAAUGGUGUUGAUGUGGGCUAUGACCAGCCUUUCAAAGCACUUCAUGGCUAAAGAUGUGAGUGCUACGGGUCAGUUGUCAUUUAUGCAGGUUACCUUAGUGUUCUUGGGCACAGGGACUAUGGUAGUCUGCUUAAAACAUGUUGGUAUUACAGACUCAGACAGGGUGAAGUUGAAAAUGUCAGUGCACUUGCCAGUUGGUCAGUGCAUGCUCAGAGUGCACAUCCUGGCAAUCCAUCUGUUCCAAUCUCUGCUAGCAAAACAGUCCUAUAGCUUAGCAUCUGCUUCAUCUGACCACUUUGUUAUUGACCGAGUCAUUGGUGCUUUAGUUUUCGUUAGUAAUCGGGAGGUUAGAAUUAUGGUCAGAUUUGCCAAAUGGAGGGCGAGGGAGAGCUUUGUACGCGUCUCUGUGUGUGGAGUAAAGGUUUUUUCCAUCUGGUUUUACAUUUAACAUGCUGGUAUAAAUGAGGUAAAAAUAGAUUUGACUUGUCCUGCAUUAAAGUCCCCGGCCACCAGGAGAGCAGCCUCUGGAUGAGUGUUUUCCUGUUUACUUAUGGCCGUAUACAGCUCAUUGAGUGUGGUCUUACUGCUAGCAUCGGUUUGUGGUGGUAUGUAGACAGCUUCGAAAAAUACAGAUGUAAACUGUGUGAUACAGCGUAUCAUGAGAUACUCUUCCUCAGGCGAACAAAACCUUGAGAAUUCCAUGGAUUUCGUGCACCAGCUGUUGUUUACAAAUAUACAUAGACCGCCACCCCUUGUCUUACCAGAGGCCGCUGUUCUAUCCUGACAAAAAAGGUUAAAACCUGCCAGCUGUAUGUUAUACGUCCAGCCACGACUCGGUGAAACAUAAGAUAUUCGUUUUUAAUGUCCCAUUGGUAGGAUAUACAUGAUCUACUAUUUUAUUAUUGAUUGAUUAUACAUUGGCUAAUAGGACCGAUGGUACAGGUAAAUUACCCUCUCGCCGACGGAUCCUAACAAGGCACUCGGAUCUUUGUCCAUGAUACCUCCGUCUCUUUCUCCUGCGAAUGACCGGGAUGAGGGCCCUUUCGAGCCACUGAAAGUAACCCCCCCAUCCGAC
Long non-coding RNA from Oncorhynchus masou masou (cherry salmon), 4652 nucleotides. RefSeq lists it as uncharacterized. The transcript has 4 exons. The record is from RefSeq and is a predicted model, not a curated record. Lineage: Eukaryota; Metazoa; Chordata; Actinopteri; Salmoniformes; Salmonidae.